CCUACGGGAGGCAGCAGUGGGGAAUAUUGCACAAUGGGGGGAAGCCUGAUGCAGCGACGCCGCGUGGGUGAAGGAGUAUUUCGGUAUGUAAAGCCCUAUCAGCAGGGAAGAACAAUGACGGUACCUGACUAAGAAGCACCGGCUAAAUACGUGCCAGCAGCCGCGGUAAUACGUAUGGUGCAAGCGUUAUCCGGAUUUACUGGGUGUAAAGGGAGCGCAGGCGGCGCGUUAAGCCUGGUGUGAAAGCCCGCGGCCCAACCGCGGGACUGCAGUGGGAACUGGCGUGCUGGAGUGCCGGAGGGGUAGGCGGAAUUCGUAGUGUAGCGGUGAAAUGCGUAGAUAUUAGGAGGAACACCAGUGGCGAAGGCGGCCUACUGGACGGUGACUGACGCUGAGGCUCGAAAGCGUGGGGAGCAAACAGGAUUAGAUACCCCGGUAGUC
Molecule: ribosomal RNA, 441 nt
Filed under: uncultured bacterium
Lineage: Bacteria
Description: partial 16S ribosomal RNA
Rfam family: Bacterial small subunit ribosomal RNA
Source: RNAcentral